UACGUAGGGGCCUAGCGUUGUCCGGAUUUAUUGGGCGUAAAGAGCUCGUAGGCGGUUCGGCAAGUCGGAUGUGAAAUCUCCACGCUCAACGUGGAGGGGCCAUUCGAAACUGCUGUGACUUGAGUCCGGUAGGGGGGUGUGGAAUUCCCGGUGUAGCGGUGAAAUGCGCAGAUAUCGGGAGGAGCACCAGUAGCGAAGGCGGCACCCUGGGCCGGUACUGACGCUGAGACGCGAAAGCGUGGGGAGCGAACAGG
RNAcentral lists this ribosomal RNA (254 nucleotides) under uncultured bacterium. Its description in RNAcentral is "partial 16S ribosomal RNA". It matches the Rfam family "Bacterial small subunit ribosomal RNA", at positions 524 to 776 of the family's 1533-position model. The record is from RNAcentral.